RNAcentral lists this unclassified non-coding RNA (270 nucleotides) under Hevea brasiliensis (rubber tree). Lineage: Eukaryota; Viridiplantae; Streptophyta; Magnoliopsida; Malpighiales; Euphorbiaceae. The record is from RNAcentral.
GAGAGAGAGAGAGAGAGAGAGCACUAAGUUUGCGUCCGUACAAACAAAUGCUAGAAGCUGAAGAUGGUGGGUCACUGAAGCAGCAGUAGCAGCAGCCCGGCAGCAAGAUGACACGAAACAGAACUUCAAAAAUAAAGGGUUAAAAAAAUUGCAAAUGAUUGAAGAUCAAAGUUUCUAGCAGGCCUAACAAUCCCAGGUAGAGAGAGACUCGAAAAGACAAUGCGUUCACUGUUUUGGAGCAAAGGUAGAAAACAAACAAAAUCCACAGGA